This is a non-coding RNA of Bos taurus (domestic cattle), 72 nucleotides long. Lineage: Eukaryota; Metazoa; Chordata; Mammalia; Artiodactyla; Bovidae. The record is from Rfam.
UCCCUAGUGGCUCAGACAGUAAAGCACCUGCUGACAAUGCAGGAGACCCAGGUUCAAUCCCUGGGUUGGGAA